This 354-nucleotide ribosomal RNA is filed under the name uncultured bacterium. RNAcentral describes it as "bacterial SSU rRNA". It matches the Rfam family "Bacterial small subunit ribosomal RNA", at positions 29 to 410 of the family's 1533-position model. The record is from RNAcentral.
AGCGAACGCUGGCGGCAGGCCUAAAACAUGCAAGUCGAACGCCGUAGCAAUACGGAGUGGCAGACGGGUGAGUAACACGUGGGAACGUGCCCUUUGGUUCGGAACAACACAGGGAAACUUGUGCUAAUACCGGAUAAGCCCUUACGGGGAAAGAUUUAUCGCCAAAGGAUCGGCCCGCGUCUGAUUAGCUAGUUGGUGAGGUAACGGCUCACCAAGGCUACGAUCAGUAGCUGGUCUGAGAGGAUGAUCAGCCACACUGGGACUGAGACACGGCCCAGACUCCUACGGGAGGCAGCAGUUAGGAAUCUUGGACAAUGGGCGCAAGCCUGAUCCAGCCAUGCCGCGUGAGUGAUG